GAUGAACGCUGACAGAAUGCUUAACACAUGCAAGUCGAUGGGGAAGUGGUGCUUGCCCCAUGGCAACCAUGGCGGACGGGUGAGUAACGCGUAAGGGACUUACCUGCAGGACCGGGAUAACAGGGGGAAACUCCUGACAAGACCGGAUAAUGUCAUGGAGCUGCAUGGCUUUAUGAUGAAAGGAGACGCCUGCGGAGAGCCUUGCGUCCUAUUAGCUAGUUGGUGAGGUAAUGGCUCACCAAGGCGAAGAUAGGUAGCCGGCCUGAGAGGGUGGACGGCCACAAGGGGACUGAGAUACGGCCCUUACUCCUACGGGAGGCAGCAGUGGGGAAUAUUGGACAAUGGGGGCAACCCUGAUCCAGCAAUUCUGUGUGCACGAAGAAGGUUUUCGGAUUGUAGAGUGCUUUCAGCAGGGAAGAAGUAAGUGACGGUACCUGCAGAAGAAGCGACGGCUAAAUACGUG
RNAcentral lists this ribosomal RNA (463 nucleotides) under uncultured bacterium. RNAcentral's name for it is "partial 16S ribosomal RNA". It matches the Rfam family "Bacterial small subunit ribosomal RNA", at positions 28 to 507 of the family's 1533-position model. The record is from RNAcentral.